Molecule: transfer RNA, 72 nt
Filed under: Endocarpon pusillum Z07020
Lineage: Eukaryota; Fungi; Ascomycota; Eurotiomycetes; Verrucariales; Verrucariaceae
Description: tRNA-His (GTG) (tRNA-His-GTG-2-1)
Rfam family: tRNA
About the family: Transfer RNA (tRNA) molecules are approximately 80 nucleotides in length. Their secondary structure includes four short double-helical elements and three loops (D, anti-codon, and T loops). Further hydrogen bonds mediate the characteristic L-shaped molecular structure. tRNAs have two regions of fundamental functional importance: the anti-codon, which is responsible for specific mRNA codon recognition, and the 3' end, to which the tRNAs corresponding amino acid is attached (by aminoacyl-tRNA synthetases). tRNAs cope with the degeneracy of the genetic code in two manners: having more than one tRNA (with a specific anti-codon) for a particular amino acid; and 'wobble' base-pairing, i.e. permitting non-standard base-pairing at the 3rd anti-codon position.
Source: RNAcentral
GGGAAUAUGGUGCAGUAGUUAGCAUUUCUGAUUGUGGCUCAGGAGACCUGGGUGCAAAUCCCAGUAUUCCCA